CGCGUAGGCGGUUUUUUAAGUCAGAUGUGUAAUCCCCGAGCUUAACUUGGGAACUGCAUCUGAGACUGGGAGGCUAGAGUACUGGAGAGGGUGGUGGAAUUCCUCGUGUAGCGGUGAAAUGCGUAGAGAUGAGGAGGAACACCGGUGGCGAAGGCGGCCACCUGGACAGUAACUGACGCUGAGGCGCGAAAGUGUGGGUAGCAAACAGGAUUAGAUACCCUGGUAGUCCACGCUGUAAACGAUGAACACUUGGUGUGGAGGGAGUUGACCCCUUCCGUGCCGGAGCUAACGCGUUAAGUGUUCCGCCUGGGGAGUACGGUCGCAAGGCUGAA
This 332-nucleotide ribosomal RNA is filed under the name uncultured bacterium. Its description in RNAcentral is "bacterial SSU rRNA". It matches the Rfam family "Bacterial small subunit ribosomal RNA", at positions 568 to 898 of the family's 1533-position model. The record is from RNAcentral.